CUACGUAGGGGGCGAGCGUUGUCCGGAAUGAUUGGGCGUAAAGGGCGCGUAGGCGGCCCGGUAAGUCUGGAGUGAAAGUCCUGUUUUUAAGAUGGGAAUUGCUUUGGAUACUGUCGGGCUUGAGUGCAGGAGAGGUAAGUGGAAUUCCCAGUGUAGCGGUGAAAUGCGUAGAGAUUGGGAGGAACACCAGUGGCGAAGGCGACUUACUGGACUGUAACUGACGCUGAGGCGCGAAAGUGUGGGGAGCAAACAGGAUUAGAUACCCUGGUAGUCCACACUGUAAACGAUGAAUGCUAGGUGUAGGGGGUAUCGACCCCUUCUGUGCCGCAGUCAACACAAUAAGCAUUCCGCCUGGGGAGUACGGCCGCAAGGUUGAAACUCAAAUGAAUUGGCGGGG
This 397-nucleotide ribosomal RNA is filed under the name uncultured bacterium. Its description in RNAcentral is "partial 16S ribosomal RNA". It matches the Rfam family "Bacterial small subunit ribosomal RNA", at positions 523 to 918 of the family's 1533-position model. The record is from RNAcentral.